CUCUCCUCCAAGAGUAGAUCCAUCAAUCACCGACGAUCGCUGGAGUUCCUCUUCGAUUUUUUCGAUUGAAGCCGCGGCCCCUCGACUCGUGCUCGCCGUGAUUUCACGCCGGUGGGGGUCAUCGGAGGCUGUGAUAAGGCCUCCUUCCUCUUCCUCUCUUCUCUCCCUUCUUUCCCGUGCCUGUGGGCACGAUUGCCGG
Molecule: long non-coding RNA, 199 nt
Filed under: Elaeis guineensis (African oil palm)
Lineage: Eukaryota; Viridiplantae; Streptophyta; Magnoliopsida; Arecales; Arecaceae
Description: long non-coding RNA (EGUI_LNC025555)
Source: RNAcentral